AUUGAACGCUGGCGGCAUGCCUAAAACAUGCAAGUCGAACGAGUGGCGGACGGGUGAGUAAUGUCUGGGCAACUGCCUGAUGGAGGGGGAUAACUACUGGAAACGGUAGCUAAUACCGCAUACCAUCAGAUGUGCCCAGAUGGGAUUAGCUUGUUGGUGGGGUAACGGCUCACCAAGGCGACGAUCCGUCGCUGGUCUGAGAGGAUGACCAGCCAAACUGGAACUGAUACACGGUCCAGACUCCUACGGGAGGCAGCAGUGGGGAAUAUUGCACAAUGGGCGCAAGCCUGAUGCAGCCAUGCCGCGUGUAUGAAGAAGGCCUUCGGGUUGUAAAGUACUUUCAGCGGGGAGGCGUUACCCGCAGAAGAAGCACCGGCUAACUCCGUGCCAGCCGCCGCGGUAAUAC
RNAcentral lists this ribosomal RNA (406 nucleotides) under uncultured bacterium. Its description in RNAcentral is "partial 16S ribosomal RNA". It matches the Rfam family "Bacterial small subunit ribosomal RNA", at positions 30 to 526 of the family's 1533-position model. The record is from RNAcentral.